Molecule: non-coding RNA, 91 nt
Organism: Guyanagaster necrorhizus
Lineage: Eukaryota; Fungi; Basidiomycota; Agaricomycetes; Agaricales; Physalacriaceae
Source: the annotation of a RefSeq genome assembly
GGUGCUAUGGUGUAGUGGUAGCACAUGGGAUUCUGAUUCUGUGUUAGCCAAUAUGGUUCCCAUAACCCAGGUUCGAACCCUGGAAGUGCCU